GCGUAGGUGACCUGCGGAGGAUCAUUA
RNAcentral lists this ribosomal RNA (27 nucleotides) under Lactifluus glaucescens. RNAcentral describes it as "partial 18S ribosomal RNA". Lineage: Eukaryota; Fungi; Basidiomycota; Agaricomycetes; Russulales; Russulaceae. The record is from RNAcentral.